Molecule: ribosomal RNA, 581 nt
Filed under: uncultured eukaryote
Lineage: Eukaryota
Description: SSU rRNA
Rfam family: Eukaryotic small subunit ribosomal RNA
Source: RNAcentral
CAUCUAAGGAAGGCAGCAGGCGCGUAAAUUACCCAAUCCUGACUCAGGGAGGUAGUGACAAGAAAUAACGGACCGAGGCCCUCGGGCUUCGGGAUUGCGAUGAGCCGAAUUUACACCCCUUAGCGAGGAUCGAUUGGAGGGCAAGUCUGGUGCCAGCAGCCGCGGUAAUUCCAGCUCCAAUAGCGUAUAUUAAAGUUGUUGCAGUUAAAAAGCUCGUAGUUGGAUUUCUGGGAGGGUGCCAAUGUCCGCCGACGUGCGUGCGCAGCGGCGCCCUUCCAUCCUUCUGUUAACGCCUCUUGGCAUUCAUUUGCUGGUGGCGGGCUCAGAUAUUUUACCUUGAGAAAAUUAGAGUGUUUCAGGCAGGCUAGGCCGGAAUACAUUAGCAUGGAAUAAUGGAAUAGGACUACGGUCUCUUUGUUGGUUUGAGGGACUGCAGUAAUGAUUAAUAGGGAUAGUUGGGGGCAUUAGUAUUUAAUUGUCAGAGGUGGAAUUCUCGGAUUUGUUAAAGACUAACUUAUGCGAAAGCAUUUGCCAAGGAUGUUUUCAUUAAUCAAGAACGAAAGUUAGGGGAUCAAAGACGA